GGACUACCCGGGUUUCUAAUCCUGUUUGCUCCCCACGCUUUCGCACCUCAGCGUCAGUAUCGGGCCAGUGAGCCGCCUUCGCCACUGGUGUUCUUGCGAAUAUCUACGAAUUUCACCUCUACACUCGCAGUUCCACUCACCUCUCCCGAACUCGAGCUCGCCAGUAUCGAAGGCAGUUCUGGAGUUGAGCUCCAGGAUUUCACCUCCGACUUAACAAGCCGCCUACGUGCGCUUUACGCCCAGUAAUUCCGAGCAACGCUAGCCCCCUUCGUAUUACCGCGGCGGCUGGCAC
Molecule: ribosomal RNA, 292 nt
Filed under: uncultured bacterium
Lineage: Bacteria
Description: partial 16S ribosomal RNA
Source: RNAcentral